Molecule: ribosomal RNA, 402 nt
Filed under: bacterium
Lineage: Bacteria
Description: partial 16S ribosomal RNA
Rfam family: Bacterial small subunit ribosomal RNA
Source: RNAcentral
UGGGGAAUUUUGCACAAUGGGGGAAACCCUGAUGCAGCGACGCCGCGUGAUUUAGAAGGCCUUCGGGUUGUAAAAAUCUUUUCUAUGGGAAGAAAAUGACAGUACCAUAGGAAUAAGGACCGGCUAAUUACGUGCCAGCAGCCGCGGUAAUACGUAAGGUUCGAGCGUUGUCCGGAAUCAUUGGGCGUAAAGGGUACGUAGGCGGGUAAGCAAGUUAGAAGUGAAAUCCUAUAGCUCAACUAUAGUAAGCUUUUAAAACUGCUCAUCUUGAGGUAUGGAAGGGAAAGUGGAAUUCCUAGUGUAGCGGUGAAAUGCGCAGAUAUUAGGAGGAAUACCGGUGGCGAAGGCGACUUUCUGGCCAUAACCUGACGCUGAGGUACGAAAGCGUGGGUAGCAAACAGG